AACCGUUCCCCCGUUGGUUCGGUUCGGUCCCGUUUGGACGUACGUCUACGAGUAGUAGUUGACUCGUGCACGAGACGACGCUGGCGGCGUGCUUAACACAUGCAAGUCGAACGGUAAGGCCCUUCGGGGUACACGAGUGGCGAACGGGUGAGUAACACGUGGGUGAUCUGCCCUGCACUUCGGGAUAAGCUUGGGAAACUGGGUCUAAUACCGGAUAGGACCACGGUCUGCAUGGAUUGUGGUGGAAAGCUUUUGCGGUGUGGGAUGGGCCCGCGGCCUAUCAGCUUGUUGGUGGGGUGAUGGCCUACCAAGGCGACGACGGGUAGCCGGCCUGAGAGGGUGUCCGGCCACACUGGGACUGAGAUACGGCCCAGACUCCUACGGGAGGCAGCAGUGGGGAAUAUUGCACAAUGGGCGCAAGCCUGAUGCAGCGACGCCGCGUGGGGGAUGACGGCCUUCGGGUUGUAAACCUCUUUCAGCAGGGACGAAGGGUGACUGACGGUACCUGUAGAAGAAGCACCGGCCAACUACGUG
Molecule: ribosomal RNA, 534 nt
Filed under: uncultured bacterium
Lineage: Bacteria
Description: bacterial SSU rRNA
Rfam family: Bacterial small subunit ribosomal RNA
Source: RNAcentral